AAUCGUUUUUUGUUGGAAAAUCCAAAUUCAAGAUUGGAGUUCCUGCCGUAUAGUUCAAAACUUAUUCUACAGUGCAAAAUAGCUUUACUGCAAAGUCUACGCAGCUAAUUGAUUGGACUAUGAAAACCCCCUCUCAUUUGUGAAGACUGAAAAAGAAGUAUCCAGUUAGUGAAAGAGAGAGAGAGAAAGAGUGCACACGAGUCAUCGCAAGUGUUUGGUAGCCGUCAGUCACACUAGUGUUGCUCAAGUAAUUGCACGUCCAUUUUUCGUGAUUUUCGAAUAAGUUCUGAUUACUAUUUUUGUAACGUAGAAUGUAAUGUGUUGAAGAUGAUUUAGAUAAGAACGCAAUCGUAGUGGUUUUUACGUGUAAAUGUGACGUUUCGCUGUGUUUUAGCAUUGGUAAAUGUAAAUUAUGCAGUGGUGCACAGGCAUUUUACGUUCAAACUGUAAAGAGCAUGAUGAUGCCUGUUUAUAUUCGUGAAGUAAAGGUCAAAAUCGGUCUUACCUGAUCAACAUGCAAACAUGGCCACGAGACUGAAUUCUCCCGACUACUACGCAAAAGCAGAGGUAUUAAUUCGAGAAGAUGUGGGAGCCACCAUUAUGCAUGACUCCAUUAAGAGCCUUCUCCGUCAUCAGCCUGUAGCAUCUGGCGAUAAGCACAAGUGUCUUCAGAUCGUCUAUCAGCAGUUAGCAGAGGCUGUGCAGUCCUUUUGAAGUCUGUGGAACUGAACAUCAUGAGGUGUAUAUGGAGUUAUUUGAUCACUAACUCUGAACACAUGCUGCCCUUCCUACAGAGAUGAAAAUAUAUAACAUGCUCAGAGGUAAUAACUACGUGCAUCGUCCCGCGGGCGGGAUAGGAAGAUGAAAUGCACAUUAUAACUCCAAAAAAAUAAUGUACAAGAUACAAAGCAAGAAAUGCAGAAGAUGCUAUUAAUCUGGGAACACGAGGAAAUGGGAACCUGUAUAAGGAAUUGCACGAAUAAUUAAUGCGGUGGAUAGUCAAGAAAAGACAAGAAUUUUCACACCAUUUCAUACAAGUAUACGAACUACAGUUUUAAGUCGCUGCCAUUACCUGAUCUGGGAACAUGAGAAGCUGGAACCUUGCAUAAAGAAAUGUCGCAGGAUUCCAGACGUCGGGCUCUCCACUGCGUUCCAAGUGUUCAAUGAUAAAGUCCAAUACUUACGUUCUUCCUCACUACUUACAUUUAUAAGGUAUAAUAAAGAAAACAAACAUA
Helicoverpa armigera (cotton bollworm) is the source of this 1235-nucleotide long non-coding RNA. RefSeq lists it as uncharacterized. The record is from RefSeq and is a predicted model, not a curated record. The transcript has 10 exons. Lineage: Eukaryota; Metazoa; Arthropoda; Insecta; Lepidoptera; Noctuidae.